This 497-nucleotide ribosomal RNA is filed under the name uncultured bacterium. RNAcentral's name for it is "partial 16S ribosomal RNA". It matches the Rfam family "Bacterial small subunit ribosomal RNA", at positions 28 to 507 of the family's 1533-position model. The record is from RNAcentral.
GAUGAACGCUGGCGGCGUGCCUAAUACAUGCCAGUCGAGCGAACAGAUGAGGAGCUUGCUCCUCUGACGUUAGCGGCGGACGGGUGAGUAACACGUGGAUAACCUACCUAUAAGACUGGGAUAACUUCGGGAAACCGGAGCUAAUGCCGGAUAAUAUAUUGAACCGCAUGGUUCAAUAGUGAAAGACGGUUUUGCUGUCACUUAUAGAUGGAUCCGCGCCGCAUUAGCUAGUUGGUAAGGUAACGGCUUACCAAGGCAACGAUGCGUAGCCGACCUGAGAGGGUGAUCGGCCACACUGGAACUGAGACACGGUCCAGACUCCUACGGGAGGCAGCAGUAGGGAAUCUUCCGCAAUGGGCGAAAGCCUGACGGAGCAACGCCGCGUGAGUGAUGAAGGUCUUCGGAUCGUAAAACUCUGUUAUUAGGGAAGAACAAAUGUGUAAGUAACUAUGCACGUCUUGACGGUACCUAAUCAGAAAGCCACGGCUAACUACGUG